UACGUAGGGGGCUAGCGUUGUCCGGAAUCAUUGGGCGUAAAGCGCGCGUAGGCGGUCAGGUAAGUCCGGUGUGAAAGUCAAAGGCUCAACCUUUGAAUGCCGCUGGAUACUGCCUGACUUGAGUCCGGAAGGGGCGAGUGGAAUUCCUGGUGUAGCGGUGAAAUGCGUAGAUAUCAAGAGGAACACCUGCGGCGAAGGCGGGUUGCUGGGCUGACACUGACGCUGAGGCGCGAAAGCUAGGGGAGCGAACGGG
Molecule: ribosomal RNA, 253 nt
Filed under: uncultured bacterium
Lineage: Bacteria
Description: partial 16S ribosomal RNA
Rfam family: Bacterial small subunit ribosomal RNA
Source: RNAcentral